RNAcentral lists this ribosomal RNA (493 nucleotides) under uncultured bacterium. Its description in RNAcentral is "partial 16S ribosomal RNA". It matches the Rfam family "Bacterial small subunit ribosomal RNA", at positions 29 to 523 of the family's 1533-position model. The record is from RNAcentral.
AUUGAACGCUGGCGGCAUGCUUUACACAUGCAAGUCGAACGGUAACAGGUUAAGCUGACGAGUGGCGAACGGGUGAGUAAUGCAUCGGAACGUGCCCGGUCGUGGGGGAUAACGCAGCGAAAGCUGCGCUAAUACCGCAUACGAUCUGAGGAUGAAAGCGGGGGACCGUAAGGCCUCGCGCGAUCGGAGCGGCCGAUGUCAGAUUAGGUAGUUGGUGGGGUAAAGGCCCACCAAGCCGACGAUCUGUAGCUGGUCUGAGAGGACGACCAGCCAAACGGGGACUGAGACACGGCCCAGACUCCUACGGGCGGCAGCAGUGGGGAAUUUUGGACCAUGGGCGAAAGCCUGAUCCAGCAAUGCCGCGUGCAGGAAGAAGGCCUUCGGGUUGUAAACUGCUUUUGUACGGAGCGAAAAGGUCCUUUCUAAUACAAGGGGCUCAUGACGGUACCGUAAGAAUAAGCACCGGCUAACUACGUGCCAGCAGCCGCCGCAG